Chelonia mydas (Green sea turtle) is the source of this 180-nucleotide long non-coding RNA. RefSeq lists it as uncharacterized. The record is from RefSeq and is a predicted model, not a curated record. Lineage: Eukaryota; Metazoa; Chordata; Testudines; Cheloniidae. The transcript is spliced from 3 exons.
GCAAUUUUGUGCAUGUGUGUGCACAUGCCUCCAACAACCUUUUCUUGCCAACGUCUGUGAGUGGGACCUGCCUCUGGCUCACAGCCCAGCUGUGCUUAUCACUGCCUGGAAAUACUUUGGUUCAGGCUUUACUUUGGUUCAGGCUUCAGGCCUCGGACUGGGCCUCUGAUACAAGAACUU